This 492-nucleotide ribosomal RNA is filed under the name uncultured bacterium. RNAcentral describes it as "partial 16S ribosomal RNA". It matches the Rfam family "Bacterial small subunit ribosomal RNA", at positions 29 to 507 of the family's 1533-position model. The record is from RNAcentral.
AGUGAACGCUGGCGGUAGGCCUAACACAUGCAAGUCGAACGGCAGCACAGUAAGAGCUUGCUCUUACGGGUGGCGAGUGGCGGACGGGUGAGGAAUACAUCGGAAUCUACUUUUUCGUGGGGGAUAACGUAGGGAAACUUACGCUAAUACCGCGUACGACCUACGGGUGAAAGCAGGGGAUCUUCGGACCUUGCGCGAUCGAAUGAGCCGAUGUCGGAUUAGCUAGUUGGCGGGGUAAAGGCCCACCAAGGCGACGAUCCGUAGCUGGUCUGAGAGGAUGAUCAGCCACACUGGAACUGAGACACGGUCCAGACUCCUACGGGAGGCAGCAGUGGGGAAUAUUGGACAAUGGGCGCAAGCCUGAUCCAGCCAUACCGCGUGGGUGAAGAAGGCCUUCGGGUUGUAAAGCCCUUUUGUUGGGAAAGAAAAGCAGCAGGUUAAUACCCCGCUGUUCUGACGGUACCCAAAGAAUAAGCACCGGCUAACUUCGUG